This is a long non-coding RNA of Salvelinus fontinalis (brook trout), 10252 nucleotides long. RefSeq lists it as uncharacterized. The transcript has 2 exons. The record is from RefSeq and is a predicted model, not a curated record. NCBI's taxonomy places the organism in Eukaryota, Metazoa, Chordata, Actinopteri, Salmoniformes, Salmonidae.
CUGCCAGAGCCCUGCAAAAUGACCUCCAGCAGGCCACAAAUGUGCAUGUGUCAGCAUAUGGUCUCACAAGGGGUCUGAGGAUCUCAUCUCGCUACCUAAUGGCAGUCAGGCUACCUCUGGCGAGCACAUGGAGGGCUGUGUGGCCCCACAAAGAAAUGCCACCCCACACCAUGACUGACCCAUCGCCAAACCGGUCAUGCUGGAGGAUGUUGCAGGCAGCAGAACGUUCUCCACGGCGUCUCCAGACUCUGUCACGUCUGUCACAUGUGCUCAGUGUGAACCUGCUUUCAUCUGUGAAGAGCACAGGGCGCCAGUGGCAAAUUUGCCAAUCUUGGUGUUCUCUGGCAAAUGCCAAACGUCCUGCACGGUGUUGGGCUGUAAGCACAACCCCCACCUGUGGAUGUCGGGCCCUCAUACCACCCUCAUGGAGUCUGUUUCUGACCGUUUGAGCAGACACAUGCACAUUUGUGGCCUGUUGGAGGUCAUUUUGCAGGGCGCUGGCAGUGCACCUCCUUGCAUAAAGGCGGAGGUAGCGGUCCUGCUGCUGGGUUGUUGCCCUCCUACAGCCUCCUCCACGUCUUCUGGUGUACUGGCCUGUCUCCUGGUAGCGCCUGCAUGCUCUGGACACUACGCUGACAGACACAGCAAACCUUUUUGCCACAGUUCGCAUUGAUGGGCCAUCCUGGAUGAACUGCACUACCUGAGCCACUUGUGUGGGUUGUAGACUCCGUCUCAUGCUACCACUAGAGUGAGAGCACCGCCAGCAUUCAAAAGUGACCAAAACAUCAGCCAGGAAGCAUAGGAACUGAGAAGUGGUCUGUGGUCACCACCUGCAGAAUCACUCCUCUUUUGGGGGGUGUCUUGCUAAUUGCCUAUAAUUUCCACCUUUUGUCUAUUCCAUUUGCACAACAGCAUGUGCAAUUUAUUGUCAAUCAGUGUUGCUUCCUAAGUGGACAGUUUGAUUUCACAGAAGUGUGAUUGACUUGGAGUUACAUUGUGUUGUUUAAGUGUUCCCUUUAUUUUUUUGAGCAGUGUAUUAGCCUGUACAUCUUAGCAGGCUGUGGUACUUGACCUUUGACCUAAGUUAGCCUCCAGUAUGACAUCUAGGACUUAAAUGUUUUAUUUGAUGUUGGCUGUUUCCAGGGGUGCAACUUUCACAGCGGAUGAUGCAUUUGUAUUCCCCCCACAGUUGUAUCAUUGGAAUGUGAUACAAAAUAAGUUAACGGUGUGCUUUAGGACCAUGCAGACGCCUCUGAGCAGUCGGGUAGGGUGUUUAUCCGACUGGAUAAAAAAAGUCUCCCCCCACUUCUAAAUCCAAAGUUGCUCCCCUGGCUGUAUGUAAUGACAUACUUUUGCAAUCUAUGUAACUAAAUAUACAACAUUAAACAGAUCCUCAUUUUGCUAAUGGUGUUUUGCAUAACCAAGUAGUUUACUACAGUGCCUUCAGAAAGUAUUCAUACCCCUUGACUUAUUUCAUCUUUUGUGUUACAGCCUGAAUUCAAAAUGGAUUAAAUUGAGUUUCUCACCCAUCUACACACAAUACCCUUUAAUGAUAAAGUGAAAAUAUGUUUUAGAAAUGUUAGCAAAUGUAUUGAAAAUGCAGAUGUCUCUCAUUUACAUAAGUAUUCUCACCCUUGAGUCAAUACAUGUUAGAAUCACCUUUUGACAGCGAUUACAGCUGUAAGUCUAUGAGCUUUGCACACCUGGAUUGUACAACAUUUCCAUAUUCUUUAAAUUCUUCAAGCUCUGUUAAGUUGGUUGUUGAUCAUUGCUAGACAGCCAUUUAAGUCUUGCCAUAGAUUUACAAGCCAAGGGGUGUGAAUACUUUCUGAAGGCACAUCUUCUCAGAGGUUUCUUAACUUUUUUUCUAUUACAAACUCCUUUACUGUAUGUGUAACGUACCAUUAAGUGUAGUGCCUGUAUCAAUCAGCGCAGUAGAAAUGAUACCAAAUGGAUACCAUACCAAUCCAUAAUCUACUACACCUGAGAGUCAAACAAGAGUUGGACCCAAGGAGUAGUGCAUUUCUAAUUGUUAUUUCAAACGAGUUUCAUGUAAAAUAAUUCCCCUGGUGCCUUGGCAGCAGAUAAUGGGGAUCCCUAAUAAAUACAAAUCAGGAAGUGUAAGGUUGAAUGCAGAAGAACUCGUAGGUAUUAGAAGGGAGAAAUUGUAACUCAUUUGGACAGCACUUUAAAUUUGAACGCAAGUGAGGGGAAAUCGGAGUUGCCGUCUAGGCCUAUUUGUGACUAAUACAGACAUAAUCAAAGUUAUUUUUACUGCCCACAGCAACCGUGGUGUACUCACAGGUGUGCUGCUUUUUAAAGGGCAUGGACUCGGCAAGAUGACCAAUUUAUGAGUCCUGACAAAUCAUUGUCUUCAUCCAGCUGUAUUGUAAGCUACUUAGCUGUUUAUUGUUUACGGUUCUUCUAUCAGUUUUAUUAUGCUGUGAUUUCCUCUGAAGUGCAGGGCAUUUAAAGCACUUCUAGCUUCCCUUUGUAAAAAUUUUAAUCAACAUAGUUUUUGUACACAGUAAAGCCUGUUAAAUGAAUUGAUCAGUAGGCUACAAUGCCCUUGGCUUGGACUGUUUCCUCUGUAGUCUCCAGUUUAUUUGGUCUGUGGCCAUUGCAUUUAAAUAGUCAGUCUUACUCGCUUAACUAAGUUAACAAUUAUGGGCAAUUUGCAGAGAGACAGAUAAAAUAGGCCUGUUCAUAUUGUAUUUUAUCAGUGCUUAAGUUAUACAUGUUAUUAGAUAUAUACCUAGUCUAAUUCACAACCAAGGGUCAUUGGUCAGGGUGCCAUUUGUGACAGAGUUACUAUCAUCUAUAUUGUGCACUACUUUUGACCAGGGCUCUUAUGGGUCCUGGUCAAAAGUAGUGCACUAUAUAGGUGAUAGGGUACGAAUUCUAAAUCACCAUAUUGCUUUCAUAUAGCUGUAUUAUUAAUGAAGAAAAUACAAAGGGAGCCAUUGUUUAGUACAGCCCACCUGUUAGGAUCCUUUUUUUUGUACCAAUGACAGUGUAAUGCUGCCCCCCUCUGGCGAUCUAGAGGAACAAUCGUAGAGAUCCUUUUGAAUUUGUGUUCUAUAUGUAGAUCAAUCAGAACAAUCAACUCAAGCAGUUCAGCGAAAUGGCAGGCGAGCUGGCUGGUAAGUUCCCUCUUCUCUUUCUACUAGUAGUGAAACAUAUUACCAUUUGGAUCAUCAAAGACUAAAAUAAAUCUAUGGGUGUACAUCUGAAACAACCAUCCAAACAUAAGGUUAUAGAGAGAUAUAGGAUGCCACAUCAAAAAAAAAAGGCGCUGUCAACAAGUGCAAUUUUAGUGGUUUAUUGAAUGUAACAAAGACGCUUAGUGUUUGACAUGAUAGAAAGCAAAGACAACCCAAGGUUUAGUCUGGGUACCAGUCUUCUUAGCUAACACUCUAUGCGGAAUGUAAUAGCUGAACAGAGACAGCAACCAGGUUAUGCAAGUCCUGCCUCUGACUCAAAACACACUGAUGUCAUUCCUCUUCUCUCCGCUCCAUCUAGUGAAAACCUCACGAGGUUCAUCCUUUCUCCAAAUAUAGGGAGAGAAAGGGAGCUGUGCUCCUCCCUAGCAGAGACGUUAAAGGUCAAUUGAAUUCAAUGGCACUAUUUUCCUUGCUUGUUUUCAAAGUAGCAGAAACUAAAGUACAAUCUCAACCUCCAAUAGAAGCCAUGUGUCCUUACAACACCAAUGACACACAGUAAAAAAAAAAUAUCAAGAUAAGCAAGAAAUGGCACCAUUUUGAGGAGUGGAGAGGGACUGAAUGGGUUAUAGCAGUAGAGUAGAUCCCUCAUGUUUCUAGUGGAAGGAGGGUGUUGGUUUGAAAAGAGUAAAGACCAGAGGAGAAGGGCUCUAUUUAAGCCGUAUCAUUGAAGUUGAGCGUUACAUCUUGAAUUAAAUUUAAAGUCGAUGUUCCCGCUUUAAGGCGUCCGCAUGCUUCCCAGCCAAAAUAGUUUGGAAGAGUUUCUGCAUAUUUUAUGACGCCUUUUGUGCUGUUUUGGACUUUGUUGAGUUUUUAGAGGGGCUGUUCAGGCAUGCUCUUAACCACUAGGCUAUCUGUCACCCAGAAUGAAUAGAGCGCCAAGACAUUCUUCCUAUCCACACAUACCUCGGGGUACAAAGUGACAAUCCAAACAGACAGACUGCUUCUCAAGAACUGAUUGGUACCCAAAUCACCAAUAUUGUCACUAAGUAGUUGUUUGAUGAUGGGAAAGAAAAAUAAAUUGUGAAAUUAGAAUGACAUCAGAUGUAGGAUAAGAUAAAGAACCCACAGUAUACUGUAUCACUGAUGGGGCUGCUCUACCAGAAACAUGAAGGUCCCACAGUAUGCUGUAUCACUGAUGGGGCUGCUCUACCAGAAACAUGAAGGUCCCACAGUAUACUGUAUCACUGAUGGGGCUGCUCUACCAGAAACAUGAAGGUCCCACAGUAUGCUGUAUCACUGAUGGGGCUGCUCUACCAGAAACAUGAAGGUCCCACAGUAUGCUGUAUCACUGAUGGGGCUGCUCUACCAGAAACAUGAAGGUCCCACAGUAUGCUGUAUCACUGAUGGGGCUGCUCUACCAGAAACAUGAAGGUCCCACAGUAUACUGUAUCACUGAUGGGGCUGCUCUACCAGAAACAUGAAGGUCCCACAGUAUGCUGUAUCACUGAUGGGGCUGCUCUACCAGAAACAUGAAGGUCCCACAGUAUGCUGUAUCACUGAUGGGGCUGCUCUACCAGAAACAUGAAGGUCCCACAGUAUGCUGUAUCACUGAUGGGGCUGCUCUACCAGAAACAUGAAGGUCCCACAGUAUGCUGUAUCACUGAUGGGGCUGCUCUACCAGAAACAUGAAGGUCCCACAGUAUGCUGUAUCACUGAUGGGGCUGCUCUACCAGAAACAUGAAGGUCCCACAGUAUGCUGUAUCACUGAUGGGGCUGCUCUACCAGAAACAUGAAGGUCCCACAGUAUGCUGUAUCACUGAUGGGGCUGCUCUACCAGAAACAGAUGAAGGGGGAUAGAGGUUUGCAAAAUUCCAGUCACUCCCCAAAUUCCCAGGUUUUCUAGAAAUCUCGGUUGGGAGUUUACUGGAUUUCCUGCUUUUUCCCUCCUGAUUCCGGGAAUCUUCCAACCAGUAUUUUAGAAAAACCUGGGAAUUUUGGCAAAGUUACUGGAAUUGUGCAACUCUAAUGGGGAUAAAAAAUAUCCAGCAGAUCAAAGGUCAAAAGGAAACAUCUCCACAUGGACUCCCACAAGUUGUUCCUCAUAUUGUUUAAUACAAGGAUGACGUCAUCAGUAUAGACAAGUAUAAAGGCCUCAUUGGAGAAAAUUGGACAUUCAUUGGGUCAUAACAUCUGAUUUUUGCCAGGGUUGGUGGGAUGGCUUCAUAGAACACCAAAUCAGUCUCUAUCUAUGACAUGGACUGACUGCAGGGGGUCAUCUAAAAGAACAUGUCGGGGGAUGCCUUGCCACAAGUGCAAGCAACUGCUUGAUAUUCAAACCAAAUGUGUGGAAAAAGCAGGUGAACUAGAAAGAAUGAAGAAUACAGUGAUGGGAAAGAAAACGAAUUGUCCACCCCUUGGAUGAUUGUAAUAGGUCUCAGUCAGCUAUGUACAUCCGAAUACAUGUUUAUUUAUAGAUACUUCUCUCUAAUAUAUUAAUGUACAAAAUAUAGAAUCUAAAAUAUCUGAUAGGGUUUGGUGUUUGAGUCAAAAUACAAAAUGUCAAAUACAAAAAAGCUUUUCGUUGACAUCCUCGGUUGAAAGUGUCGUCAGUUAAAGCGUGUGUGUCUGUUAUGUGCAUGUAUGUGUGGCUAGCGUAUGUCUGUGUUUCUGUGUGUGUUUUUGCCCCUGUGUUUGCAUGAUGUGUGUGUGUGUUGUGUAGAGCUCUGUAAACUCACACUGAACAGAGCAGUCUCACUGGUCGUUCAAGUAGCCAGCCAGGUUAACACGGCCCACCAAGGCUCCCUACUAGAGAUGAAACACACUGCUCCUUCCUAUCUGACCAACUCCAGUAAAGGGUUUGAUAGUGCUGCUGUGCUGGCUGGCAAUAUUAGUACAUAGUGUACCAAUGGUUUGGAGAAUUGCAAUAUCUGUACCACUCAAGUGUACAAAGACAGCAUACAUGGACUGUAUGAACAAAAAACACUUUUUUCCACAUAUACUGUGUACAUAUACAGUACCAAUCAAAAGUGUGAACACAACUACUCAUUCAAGGGUUUUUCUUUAUUUUUACUAUUUUCUACAUUGUAGAAUAAUAGUGAAGACAUCAAAACUAUGAAAUAACACAUGGAACCAGAAAAGUGUUAAAAUCAUAACAUAUUUUAUGUUUUGAGAUUCUUCAAAGUAGGCCCCCUUUUGCCUUGACAGCUUUGCGCACUCUUGGCAUUCUCUCAACCAGCUUCAUGAGGUAGUCACCUGGAAUGCAUUUCAAUUAACAGGUGUGCCUCGUUAAAAGUGAAUUUGUGGAAUUUCUUUCCUCCUUAAUGCGUCUGAGCCAAUCAGUUGUGUUGUGACAAGGUAGGGGUGGUAUACAGAAGAUAGCCCUAUUUGGUAAAAGACCAAGUCCAUACCAUGGCAAGAACAGCUCAAAUAAGCAAAGAGAAACGACAGUCAAUCAUUACUUUAAGACAUGGUCAGUCAAUAUGGAAAAUCUCAAGAACUUUGGACAUUUCUUCAAGUGCAGUUGUAAAAACCAUUAAGCACUAUGAUGAAACUGGCUCUCAUGAGCACCGCCACAGGAAAGGAAGACCCAGAGUUAUCUCUGCUGCGGAGGAUAAGUUCAUUAGAGUUACCAGCCUCAGAAAUCGACAAUUAACUGCACCUCAAAGAGUUCAAGUAACAGACACAUCUCAACAUCAACUGUUCAGAGGAGUCAGGCCUUCAUGGUUGAAUUGCUGCAAAGAAACCACUACUAAAGGACACCAAUAAUAAUAAGAAACAUAAGCAAUGGGCAUUAGACCGGUGGAAAUCUGUCCUUUGGUCUGAUGAGUCCAAAUUUGAGAUUUUUGGUUCCAACCGCCGUGUCUUUGUGAGAUGUUCUCAGCAUGUGUGGUUCCUAUUUAUGUAGAAUUCAAGGCACACUUAACCAACAUGGCUACCACAGCAUUCUGCAGCGAUAUGCCAUCCCAUCUGGUUUGCGCUUAGUGUGACUAUCAUUUGUUUUUCAACAGGACAAUGACCCAACACCUCCAGGCUGUGUAAAGGCUAUUUUACCAAGAAGGAGACUGAUGGAGUACUGCAUCAGAUGACCUGACCUCCACAAUCACCCGACCUCAACCCAAAUGAGAUGGUUUGGGAUGAGUUGGACUGCAGAGUGAAGGAAAAGCAGCCAACAAGUGCUCAGCAUAUGUGGGAACCCCUUCAAGGCUGUUGGAAAAGGAUUCCUUGUGAAGGUGGUUGAGAGAAUGCCAAGAGUGUGCAAAGUUGUCAUCAAGGCAAAGAGUGGCUACUUUGAAGAAUCUAAAAUAUAUUUUGAUUAACAAUUUUUUGAUUACGACAUGAUUCCCUUUGUGUUAUUUCAUAGUUUUGAUCUCUUCACUAUUAUUGUAAAAUGUAGAAAAUAGUAAAAAUGAAGCAACUCUUGAAUGAGUAGGUGUGUCAACUUUUGACUGUUACUGUAUAUACAGUGCAUUCAGAAAGUAUUACGACCCCUUGACUUUUUACACAUUUUGUUACGUUACAGACUUAUUCUAAAAUGGGAUUCAAUAGUUUUUUCCCCUCAUCAAUCUACACACAAUAAGCCAUAAGAACCAAGCAAAAAGCAGGUUUGAUUUUUUUCUUUUUUUAUGGGAAUAUCACAUUUACAUAAGUAUUCCGACCCUUUUGCUCAGUACUUUGUUGAAGCACCUUUGACAGCGAUUACAGCCUCAAGUCUUCUUGGGUAUGACGCUACAAACUUGGCACACAUAUUUGGGGAGUUUCUCCCAUUUUUCUCAGCAGAUCAUCUCAAGCUCUGUCAGGUUGGAUGGGGAGCGUCGCUACACAGCUAUUUUCAGGUCUCCAGAGAUGUUUGAUCAGGUUCAAGUCCGUGCUCUGGCUGGGCCACUCAAGGACAUUCGGAGACUUGUCCCAAAGCCACUCCUUGGCUGUGUGCUUAAUGUCAUUGUCCUGUUAAAAGGUGAACCUUCGCCCCAGUCUGAGGUCCUGAGCGCUCUGGACCAGGUUUUCAUCAAGGAUCUCUCUGUACUUUGCUCCGGUCAUCUUUCCCUUCGAUCCUGAAUAGUCUCCCAGUCACUGCCGCUGAAAAACAUUGCCACAGCAUGAUGCUGCCACCACCAUGCUUCACCGUAGGGAUGGUGUUGGCCAGGUGAUGAGCGGUGCCUGGUUUCCUCCAGACGUGAUGCUUGGCAUUCAGGCCGAAGAGUUCAAUCUUGGUUUCAUCAGACCAAAGAAUGUUUUUUCUCAUGGUCUGAGAGUCCUUUAGGUGCCUUUUGACAGCCCGCUUGGAGUUUGACAUGUGUUUUCUGUCUGUCCACUCUACCAUGAAGGCCUGAUUUGUGGAGUGCUGCAGAGAUGGUUGUCCUUCUGAAAGGUUCUCCCAUAUCUACAGAGGAACUCUGGAGCUCUGUCAGUGACCAUCGGGUUCUUGGUCAUCUCCCUGACCAAGGCCCUUCUACCCCAAUUGCUCAGUUUGGCUGGGCGGCCAGCUCUAGGAAGAGUUUUGGUGGUUCCAAACUUCUUCCAUUUAAAAAUGAUGGAGGCCACAGUGUUCUUGGGGACCUUCAAUGCUGCAGAAAUGUUUUGGUACCCUUCCCCAGAUCUGUGCCUCGACACAAUCCUGUCUCGGAGCUCUACGGACAAUUCCUUCAACAUCAUGGCUUAGGUUUUGCUCUGACAUGCACUGUCAACUGGGGGACCUUAUAUAGACAGGUGUGUGCCUUUUCAAAUCAUGUCCAAUCAAUUGAAUUUACCACAGGUGGACUCCAAGUUGAAAAACAUCUCAAGGAUGAUCAAUGGAAACAGAAUUUACCUGAUCUCAAGGGUCUGAAUACUUAUGUAAAUAAGGUAUGUCCGUUUUUUUAUUUUGAAUAAAUUUGCAAACAUUUCUAAAAACCUGGUUUCGCUUUGUCGUUAUGGGGUAUUAUGUGUAGACUAAUGAGGACAUUUUUUAUUUAAUCCAUUUUAGAAAAAGUCUAACAUAAUAAAAUGUGGAAAACGUGAAGGGGCCUGAAUACUUUCCGAAUGUUUUAUGUGUAUAUAUGGGUUUCAGUGUCUUCAUGCAGGUUUUGUUUAGAGCGACUUGGCUCUUUCAGCAGAAUGUCUAAGAACACACACAGUGGAUCGAUUUCCUCAGAAAACCUUAGAGAUCUACAGUACUGCAAGAUGAUUGGCUCUUAGCCAUUCCUUAACUCACACUAUGACCUAUAGAAAUAAGACUGUGAGAGAAUGCUGCUGUCACAAUGUGUCUCUGUCUGCUGUAGUCUGAUGGGAUUUCUUUGGUCUCUUCAGCGAACUCAGGCCCUCUGAGCUCCUCCCUGUCUCUUUACCCCAAUCCGAGAGGAGGCUGGGUGGGGUCUCCUUCACUCUGGUCCAAUCGGAGGCUGACCUCUGCAGGUAGGGAGGAGAUAAACCUAGGACAAGGGGUGUUGAUGGGGGGCAGUCAGUUCCCCAAGCAAACACAUGUCCAUGAGCCUGCUCGUCAAAGACUUGGGGGGGGUCAGCCCCUUUUAGUCCAAUACCCCCUCUCCUCUCAGCCUUUUCCUGCACCAGUGUCAGUCUGUUACUGGGGCUGCUUCUGAAUAGGCUGUGUCUGAAAUGGCACCCUAUUUCCUAUAUAGUGCACUACUUUAGAACAGAGCCCUGUGUCCCUGGUCAAAAGUAGUGUAAUAUACAGGGAAUAGGUUUCCAUUUGGGACACAGCCUGGUGUUAACUGCUGGGAGGUCCUCCAGUGAGGAAGUAGGUCUGCAUUUCUCCUUUACCCUUCACCUUGACCAGGCCUCGGCACUCUAGUGUGUAGUUAUAGGAGUUCAGUACGUUGUACAGGUCUGAGGUCACCUGGCGGGAGAAAGGCCAGAGAGGAAAAGAAAGGUGGGAAAGUAAGUAGUCAUGAAGUCACACAGAGGAUAGCAGUGUUCACAUAUCUUAAUCAUAAGCACACUGCCUGUCAUUUCACACUGCCAAAUUAUAAUAUUCUAAAAGAUCGACACAAGGUUAAAAAAGAGUGCACACUGUAAGCUAUGCUUCCAUGUGCUUUACAAUGUUUCCACCCUUAGGUCUUCAUCAUAGUUAUAAUAAAGUCACAAUAGAAAUC